This 445-nucleotide ribosomal RNA is filed under the name uncultured bacterium. RNAcentral's name for it is "partial 16S ribosomal RNA". It matches the Rfam family "Bacterial small subunit ribosomal RNA", at positions 354 to 796 of the family's 1533-position model. The record is from RNAcentral.
GUGAGGAAUAUUGGUCAAUGGGCGGGAGCCUGAACCAGCCAAGUAGCGUGCAGGAUGACGGCCCUAUGGGUUGUAAACUGCUUUUACACGGGGAUAAAGUGUGCGACGUGUCGUUCAUUGUAGGUACCGUGCGAAUAAGGACCGGCUAAUUCCGUGCCAGCAGCCGCGGUAAUACGGAAGGUCCGGGCGUUAUCCGGAUUUAUUGGGUUUAAAGGGAGCGGAGGCCGUCUGUUAAGCGUGUUGUGAAAUGUAGAUGCUCAACAUCUGAAUUGCAGCGCGCACUGACCGACUUGAGUGCGCAGGAAGUAGGCGGAAUUCGUGGUGUAGCGGUGAAAUGCUUAGAUAUCACGAAGAACUCCGAUUGCGAAGGCAGCUUACUGUAGCGCCACUGACGCUGAAGCUCGAAAGUGCGGGUAUCGAACAGGAUUAGAUACCCUUGUAGUCC